GCAAGUCGAGCGAGAAAGCCCUUCGGGGUGAGUAAAGCGGCGGACGGGUGAGUAACGCGUAGGAAUCUACCUGGUAGUGGGGGACAACAUGUGGAAACGCAUGCUAAUACCGCAUACGCCCUAUGGGGGAAAGCGGGGGAUCUUCGGACCUCGCGCUAUCAGAUGAGCCUGCGUAGGAUUAGCUUGUUGGUGAGGUAAAGGCUCACCAAGGCGACGAUCAGUAGGGGGUUUGAGAGGAUGAUC
This 243-nucleotide ribosomal RNA is filed under the name uncultured bacterium. RNAcentral describes it as "partial 16S ribosomal RNA". It matches the Rfam family "Bacterial small subunit ribosomal RNA", at positions 57 to 305 of the family's 1533-position model. The record is from RNAcentral.